Non-coding RNA from Danio rerio (zebrafish), 411 nucleotides. The record is from RefSeq and is a predicted model, not a curated record. NCBI's taxonomy places the organism in Eukaryota, Metazoa, Chordata, Actinopteri, Cypriniformes, Danionidae.
CUAAACAACAUAUCAACUAAAACAACCGACACACGCUGCGAUAAAGUGGAGGAAUGCAGUGAAACUCGACUCACCUGAAAUAAGGGAUGUGCUUGGACCAUUGACAGAAGCAGAGCUCCAGGACAUUUGGACAGCCGUUUUGGACAUCUGCUGAUGGUCAGGAAAAAGCAGCUCAGAAGUGAAGGCGAUGAGAUCAAGGCUAAGCACAGGUAAGAUACAAGCUCUUAUACAGAAUAUAGUGAGCGUGACUUGAAAAACUGCUUCAUUAGGCCUUUAGAUUAUUGCAUUUAAAUCAGCUGAUCAAGUGAUGAAAGAGGCUUUGUUACAGUAUGCAGCUUUGGAAGAUCUCAUUGCUGAAGCCGUGUCUUCGUUUGCAUAAUGCCUCCUUACACUGCAUGUUUUGCAUGUCUC